RNAcentral lists this ribosomal RNA (447 nucleotides) under uncultured bacterium. RNAcentral describes it as "bacterial SSU rRNA". It matches the Rfam family "Bacterial small subunit ribosomal RNA", at positions 335 to 777 of the family's 1533-position model. The record is from RNAcentral.
ACUCCUACGGGAGGCAGCAGUGGGAAUAUUGCACAAUGGGGGAAACCCUGAUGCAGCCAUGCCGCGUGUGUGAAGAAGGCCUUCGGGUUGUAAAAGCACUUUCAGUAGGGAGGAAGGUAUGGUAGUACACUGCAUUAUUUGACGUUACCUACAGAAGAAGCACCGGCUAACUCCGUGCCAGCAGCCGCGGUAAUACGGAGGGUGCGAGCGUUAAUCGGAAUUACUGGGCGUAAAGCGCAUGCAGGCGGCCUGUUAAGUCAGAUGUGAAAGCCCGGGGCUUAACCUCGGAAUUGCAUUUGAAACUGGCAGGCUAGAGUCUUGUAGAGGGGGGUAGAAUUUCAGGUGUAGCGGUGAAAUGCGUAGAGAUCUGAAGGAAUACCAGUGGCGAAGGCGGCCCCCUGGACAAAGACUGACGCUCAGAUGCGAAAGCGUGGGGAGCAAAUAGGA